UUUCGAUAGUAUUUUUUAACCCAUUAGCAAAUUUUUGCUAUUGCACUUUCAUUUGAGCAUAUAAACUAUUUUAAUUUUGUACAAACUUGAAUGCGGUAUUCGAAUGUGGAAGACACCGCUAAAUAUUUGAGCUUCAACGAACCUAGUUUUCUGUAUGUGUGUUAUUGUCAAUUGUGUAUUGCACCAAUUCUAGUAACUUACUUUGCCCUAGUCUGUCUUCUUAGCUUUUUUAGAGUUUGUUUUUUGGCUAGUUGACUUACUCGGGAACAUCACAAACAGUGCUAACUGAACCGAGCAGAGAGCUAGCGCCAUUAGGUUUUGGAUCUAAAGCAGCAGAAAUAUGUUAUUGAAAGUGCUAUUGGAGAAACUUUUUGAUAAACUUACUACAACGAAAUCGUUUCUGAUGGUUACACCAUAUAGUAACCACGAUAGCGAGACAAAUGCACCCGACAGUAUGAUGGGAAAUGGUAAUCCUUCGGUACUUCUAUUUUUCAGGAUCUCGCCCUGGAAGACUCAAAGGUUCUUGAAAGGAACAGGUACAACUCGUUCUCAACUUACCAAACCAAACAGUGGCAUUCCAACGAGGAGCAGGAGAACAGUCGUCUGUAUUAACCCGAAGCGAAACAUAACCAGCUCCGGGUCCUCAUACUGUACGUAGGACAAUAUUCCAACUGCAAUCGCACCGGCAAGUCCUAUUUGUCCCCAAACUUUGUUCUUGGUGGGUCCUUGUGUGAACAGAUAAAAACAGCACACAUACAGGAAAUUUAGUGCUAAUCCAACAAAGUUCACCCGUAUCAUUGCAUCGUCCGCCAGCAUUUGACCGAACUGGAUGUUUAGCAGACAGAACACUGCCCCGCCGAGGAAUGGUCCGGCACUGAUCCCCUCGGUGUUUCCUUUCUUCCUGAUGUCAUUCAGCACUAAGAAUCCACUGAAGAACUGCAAUAUCGUUAUAGUGGCCGCCGUCAUACCGACCGCAUCCUUGUGCGGUUCGAGGAUCGUUGCUAGCGCUUCCAUUUUUAAAUUUUUUGAACCGAACUGAAUUUGAAGCAAAUGAAUUCAAUGUUCGCUCGCUGGUUUGGAGUUAUAUAAUGGUGUUUAACAAAAUGUGGGCCUCAUUUGGCGUCUAAUGUCUUAUCAUCGAUGAACUGCAAUGUGUACUCGGCACUUAAGAUGAGUUUUUUUUAUAGAAAACAAGUUCCCGAAACCAAGAGCAACAUAGCUCGUAAAAGUGUGAAUGGUGUAAGGUGGUGAGCUGCACAGAGAGGACGACGGGAGAGUGCGAAAAUAUCAAAACAAACCGUAGAAUGUGUUGGUAUUUCUGGGAGUUUGGUCUGUCAUUCAGUGUAUCGGCGCAUUUGAAAUUUCGAAACAACUUUGAACACGUGGACGAUAAAACGUAAGGACUUUCAAUCUUUUUUUCUAUGAAGCCAAAGGAAACGGCUUUUGUAUAUGAAGCAGUGGCGUAGCGUGACCGGGUGACACUCGGGGCGGGUUACUACACUGGAGGAAAACAUUACAUAAGUAACCUCAUUCCUAGCAACUGUGUGUGUGCAAUCGCCAUUUGUCCAGUGGAAGCGAAACAAUUCGGAGG
Molecule: long non-coding RNA, 1591 nt
Organism: Toxorhynchites rutilus septentrionalis
Lineage: Eukaryota; Metazoa; Arthropoda; Insecta; Diptera; Culicidae
Exons: 3
Source: RefSeq, a predicted model, not a curated record